Molecule: ribosomal RNA, 2070 nt
Filed under: Triticum aestivum (bread wheat)
Lineage: Eukaryota; Viridiplantae; Streptophyta; Magnoliopsida; Poales; Poaceae
Description: partial small subunit ribosomal RNA
Source: RNAcentral
AUGGCGUCCCCGAAGCGGCUCCCGUACUCCUCCGCGGGCGCUGGCGGCGGAGCGAGGCGCGGCUCCGGCGCGCUGCCGCCGGUCGUGGUCCUCGUCUUCCUCUUCGUCCUCGCGCCGUCGAUCUUCUUCGUCGUGCGCAGCGGCGGCCACGUCCACGUCGCGUCCGAUCCCAGGGGUGCUGAUGGCAACCAGCCUGUCUUGCAGGAAACAGAUUGGCAAGAGCAACUGGCAACAAACAAUCUGAAAUCUGUUUUGUCUAAGGAGGUAAUCGAUGCUAUAGCUGCUAGUCAACAAGAAACAGGCACUCUGAAUCUUGACUUCUUUAGGGAUCAUCCCUCUCCUUCUUGGAAAACUGAUGAUCUAGUUGAUCACAAGAUGAAUACUAAUUUGGUUGUUGACGACAAGGCAAAAGCUCAAAACAGUUCUGCAGAACAUGUACCUCUAAUAUAUAAAGCACCCAAGGAUGGUUCAGAUGGACAUCAAGUUGAUACAGCAGCAAAAAUAGCUCGAAGGAAACUACGGGAGAUAAGGCGGGAAAAGAGGGCAAUGGAUUUAGUACGGAAAGAUGAUGAAGCGCUUGUUAAGCUGGAGAAUGCGGCUAUUGAGCGAUCAAAGGCUGUAGAUUCUGCUGUCCUUGGGAAAUACAGCAUAUGGAGAAAAGAGAAUGAGAAUGAGAACUCAGAUUCAACAGUCAGGUUGAUGAGGGACCAAAUUAUUAUGGCUCGUGUUUACUCUGUGCUUGCAAAAUCAAAGAACAAGCAUGGUCUUUAUCAAGAACUGCAGAGCCGAAUCAAGGAAAGCCAUCGGGCCGUAGGAGAGGCUACUGCAGAUGCUGAACUUCAUCGCAGUGCACCUGAUAGAAUGAGAGCGAUGGGUCAAGUUUUAACCAAGGCCAGAGAAGAAUUGUAUGAUUGCAAGGUGAUAAGUCAGAGACUAAGGGCAAUGCUUCAGUCAGCAGAUGAACAGGUCAGGAGCUUGAAGAAGCAGAGCACAUUUCUCAGCCAGUUGGCUGCAAAGACGAUUCCAAACAGCAUUCACUGCUUGUCUAUGCGCUUAACAAUAGAUUACUAUCUCCUUCCUGUGGAGAAACGGAAGUUCCCGAGGAGUGAAAACUUGGAAAAUCCAGAGCUCUACCACUAUGCACUUUUCUCGGACAAUGUCUUGGCUGCCUCUGUUGUUGUAAACUCAACCAUCAUGAAUGCCAAGGAGCCUGAGAAACAUGUUUUCCAUCUUGUGACUGAUAAGUUGAACUUUGGAGCCAUGAACAUGUGGUUUUUGCUGAACCCACCUGGCAAGGCCACUAUCCAUGUUGAGAAUGUGGAUGAAUUUAAGUGGUUGAACUCAUCGUACUGUCCUGUUUUACGUCAACUGGAGUCUGCUGCCAUGAAAGAGUUUUAUUUCAAGGCUGAUCGUCCCACCACUCUUUCAGCAGGUUCUUCAAACCUAAAGUACCGUAACCCCAAGUACCUUUCCAUGCUGAACCACUUGAGAUUUUAUCUCCCAGAGAUCUAUCCAAAGUUGGAUAAGAUACUUUUCCUCGAUGACGACAUAGUUGUGCAGAAAGAUUUGACAGGAUUGUGGGAUGUUGAUCUAAACGGAAUGGUUAAUGGUGCGGUGUUUACCUGUGGAGAGAGUUUCCACCGUUUUGACAAGUAUCUUAACUUCUCAAAUCCACACAUUGCUCGGAACUUUGAUCCUAAUGCUUGUGGUUGGGCUUAUGGGAUGAACAUCUUUGAUCUCAAGCAGUGGAAGAACAAGGAUAUUACCGGGAUCUACCACAAGUGGCAAACCAUGAAUGAAGACAGGGUUCUUUGGAAGCUCGGGACACUUCCACCUGGGCUCAUGACGUUUUACAAGCUGACGCACCCCCUUGAUAAAUCGUGGCAUGUCCUUGGACUAGGAUACAACCCAAGCAUCGACCGCUCAGAGAUAGACAAUGCUGCUGUCGCUCAUUACAAUGGGAACAUGAAGCCAUGGCUGGAGCUGGCAAUGACCAAGUAUCGACCAUACUGGACAAGGUAUAUAAAGUAUGACCACCCUUACAUCCGCGGAUGCAACCUGAGUGAGUAG